Jatropha curcas is the source of this 754-nucleotide long non-coding RNA. RefSeq lists it as uncharacterized. The record is from RefSeq and is a predicted model, not a curated record. NCBI's taxonomy places the organism in Eukaryota, Viridiplantae, Streptophyta, Magnoliopsida, Malpighiales, Euphorbiaceae.
UGGUUUUUGCAUGCCAUUUCUGUUAUCUUUUUAAUUACUUAUAGUUCCCAUCCUGGAAUUAAUUAUCCUUUUCAGUUUGCAGAAAAAACCAGAAGACAGAAAAUCAGCACGUCAACUUUUGGAAGAUCCUUUCUUGAAAACGUAUGAAAGUCAGCGAGUAGAUCUCCCAGCUUUCUUCAAAAAUGCUCUCCACUCUUCUGAAACUUAUGAGGCAAUUGAGAAGUCGAUUUGUCCAGAAUCAGCUUUUCCGGUUGAACUAGAGUCAAAGGAAGAGGCACCAACUCCGAAAAGAAAAUCACAUGUACUACUCGGGUUGUCAUUAUAUGACUCUCUUUCUCUAUGUACUAACCUCCGGAAAUCAGCCUGCCUCGAAGAGUGAAAUAACUACUGCUUCCAUGCCGUCUCCUCAGAUAGAACAAGCAACGUCUUCACCAAGAUCGAUGAACAUUAAAUACAUGGGUUCUGAGGUAGGAGUCUCUUCCAAGAGAAAGGAUAAAGAGGUGACAGAUGAACCAGAAAAAGUAGACUCGUCGCUUUCCAAGAAAUCUUCGCGGGUCAAUCUUCAACUUUUAGCUAUCCCUUCACACUGUCCACAGUCGGUGGUUCAGUCUGACCUGAGAGUGUCCGAUCUAUUGUGGCAAAUGUGGUCAUGGAAGUGUGCUAUCCCAAAACUGAUAAACCUAUAGUAAUUUCUCUUUAACCUCUUAUUUUUCAAUACCAGCAUGUAUGCCUCCAUGAUUUUAUUCCUAUUUUA